UUAGACAAUCCAAGCUAAGUUCGCGUCUUGGCCGCAAGGGUGCAUCACGACUUAUGCAAUUCUAGCUAAGCCCAUGACAGAAGGGCGGCCGCACAAGUGGAUGACAAGAAAUUGUGCCUGUCACCGACCGCCCCUGCUGAUGUGGCUGGCGACUUGCAGUGCCACCUCAGGGCAACGCCUCUCCACCUGCAAGUGUUGGCCUCGGUAGACAUCUGAAUCGGAGAAAUGGGAGAGGGGAAAUGAAAGGUGGAAGCAAUAACAAAGAAUCUAGAGAUGAAGGAGGGGGAGGACGGGGAAGAAAGGGUUGAGCUGCACCCAUUGGUGAGGGUGGGACAAGUCAAGAGGUGAUGUCCGAACGCCACUGUUGUGUUGGCGAUGUCGGUUGGCGUGGCUCUGUUAUGACAAAUUAUCGACAUCAACGAGGAAAGGGGGAAGCAACAGGGAUCAUGCACCGAAUCAUGUUUGUAAUAAAUUAUAAGGGUUAGAUUCUUCCAACAUCAUUUUACUUGGCUUAGAAAUUUGACCAUUUGCAGUCAUCUUUCUUCUUUUUGGCAUAUGGCAUUCUCUAUUAUCUUAGUCAAUUAAAAAAUUUCACAUUUUCUCAUAGCACCUGCUUGGUAGGUGCACUUCUUAGUAGCUUUGACCUUUUAAAACUACUGAGAGACGGUCUUUCUUUCUGGUUCACGGUUCAUCCCUCUCACUUAUCUCUCUAGCAACUAUUUUGAAUUAAAGAAAACUACUUGAUAGGUGUUUUCACUGUUUCCCCAUUUCAGUAAUCUUAAUUAUAUAUGUGGAAGAAAAGUGCUACAACAGCAACAAAAGCAACAGAACAAUAUCUUUAUGAUUGGGGGUCAACUGUAUUAAUAUUUUCCCCAUUGUUGUCUGCUGAAAGCAAUGUCACUGGUCAAACUAGGACCUAUCAAAAGUCUCCUUAAUUGCUCCUAAUGAUUUCAGUAGUAUAAGAAUAAUUGCUAAUGUUAUGUGUUUGUAGUCUUUUGGUGCAUAUUACAAUUGCUUUUAGAUCGAAGCACUUAUGAAAAUUUAUAUUGUUGAGUGUGAAAUUCUCUGUGCACCAAAGUGUAAGUAAGAAAUCAUAGAUUUAUUCCAUUCAAAAUCAUAAAUAGGCAACAGGAAACUGUUAUAUGUGUUUGGCUUAGCAUAGUACCCCCAUUUCCCUUAAAAAUAAAUAAAUAAAUAAAAUAUUUUAGCUCUACCCUUGUUGAAGUUCAUGGGGUGAAAUCAGCAGAUUAUGUAAAGGUACUUGUACAUUAGAAAUUGUUAAAUAAUUAUCAUUCCUGAUCUAGAACUAGCAAAAAAAAAAAAAAAAAACAGUUUUUUUACUAUUUCUUAUGACAAGCUUGGGUGUCAAUCUAUUGGACCAAAAUCAUUCGUUAAAGGUCUUCUGUAGCCUUUUAGUUGUAUACAUGUUAUCAUAGUUAGUAUGAAGCUAGUUUGGUUUUAAGUUGCUGUCUUUCUUAUGAUAUGUUUAUUAACAACCAAUUUUUUUGUUUCUUUAAACUGUCCCACAACAAUGCUUUGUGAGGCCAAUCAACUGGUUAGUCGGCAAUUUUUAUCGGGCACCCUUUUCAAAUUCUGUUCGCAUAUAAGAGUAUUUUAUUUAUCUUCUUGAAACUUAUUUCAUAUUGGUUGCAGGAGCAUCAUUUUGCACUGUUACAACGAGAAUGAAAUGUUUCGGGUCGAUAUCGAGAAAAUGCGUAGCGAAUUGAGGGCACAGUUGGAGGCAACAAAAUACGAUAUUAUAAAGUAUUGCAUCGGUACUCUUGUUUCGAAAUUUGCCAUUGGUCUUGCAAUUCUGCGCAUUCUGAUGUAAACCAUUGUUUUCUUUGCCCAAACAAAAAAAAAAAGCACCAUGUACCAAACGGUUGUAACGCAUAGCUGAAGUUUGUCAACUUUCUUAUAGAUGGUGACUCAAAUGAGGUUUAUGCUGAAGGGCCAGCUCGGCCAACUGGGGGUGAUGCUGCUAUUGCAAUGUUGAUUGGACCAAAUUCUCCAAUUUCUUUAGAGAGUCUAUACGGGGGAACUCACAUGGCUCAUGUUUGUGACUUUUGCAAGCCAAAACUUGCAAGCGAAUACCUGGUUUGCUUCCUUUCCUUCCUGAUGCCAUUUGGCACCUCGGUCCUGCUGACAGAAGUGCAAUUUGAAUGUUUCUGCUCUUCAUUCUUCAAGAUUUUGCUUUAUUUUUGUUCAAUCUUAUGUUUUUUGUAGUGAAUCAUGUAAUAAUUUUCAGGCACAAAUGUUCUUUUGUUCUUGUUGAGGCGAUUGUGGUUUCAUCAAGAACAACUUUUCUGCCUGAUCCCCAAUCGGAUGGCAUUUUUUCUUUCUUUUUACUGUUGCAUGUUCUCUUUCUCUUUACUGCUGCAUAUAUUGUUUCUA
This is a long non-coding RNA of Musa acuminata AAA Group (dessert banana), 2394 nucleotides long. RefSeq lists it as uncharacterized. The record is from RefSeq and is a predicted model, not a curated record. The transcript has 2 exons. Lineage: Eukaryota; Viridiplantae; Streptophyta; Magnoliopsida; Zingiberales; Musaceae.